CACAGGCAUCUGGUACUGUUGAUGUGUACUCUCUGUUGACUGAACUGGUGCGGGCAAGCAGGGUUCUUGAGCUAGAGACUGUAUAGCGGGCAUCUGGGGCUGAGGCAAUUGUGAAGGAUAAAGAACAACAGGAGAUGGAUUUUGUUGUUGUGGAGGUGGAGGAGCAUGAGGAACAAGGGAAGAAGGAUGUGGAGAUGGUUGAGGUGGAGCAGCUGGGGCUUGAAGUGGUUGUUGGACAGGCUGUGGCGGUGAAGCUACUUGUUGCCAAGAGUCUGGUUGUCCGGUGCUAGCUUUUU
RNAcentral lists this long non-coding RNA (296 nucleotides) under Phoenix dactylifera (date palm). RNAcentral describes it as "long non-coding RNA (PDAC_LNC003838)". Lineage: Eukaryota; Viridiplantae; Streptophyta; Magnoliopsida; Arecales; Arecaceae. The record is from RNAcentral.